This 497-nucleotide ribosomal RNA is filed under the name uncultured bacterium. RNAcentral describes it as "partial 16S ribosomal RNA". It matches the Rfam family "Bacterial small subunit ribosomal RNA", at positions 28 to 507 of the family's 1533-position model. The record is from RNAcentral.
GAUGAACGCUGGCGGCGUGCCUAAUACAUGCAAGUCGAGCGAACAGACGAGGAGCUUGCUCCUCUGACGUUAGCGGCGGACGGGUGAGUAACACGUGGAUAACCUACCUAUAAGACUGGGAUAACUUCGGGAAACCGGAGCUAAUACCGGAUAACAUGUUGAACCGCAUGGUUCAACAGUGAAAGACGGUCUUGCUGUCACUUAUAGAUGGAUCCGCGCCGCAUUAGCUAGUUGGUAAGGUAACGGCUUACCAAGGCAACGAUGCGUAGCCGACCUGAGAGGGUGAUCGGCCACACUGGAACUGAGACACGGUCCAGACUCCUACGGGAGGCAGCAGUAGGGAAUCUUACGCAAUGGGCGAAAGCCUGACGGAGCAACGCCGCGUGAGUGAAGAAGGUCUUCGGAUCGUAAAACUCUGUUAUUAGGUAAGAACAAAUGUGUAAGUAACUAUGCACGUCUUGACGGUACCUAAUCAGAAAGCCACGGCUAACUACGUG